UACACAUGCAAGUCGAACGGAGCGCGGGGGCAACCUGGCGGCGAGUGGCGAACGGGUGAGUAAUGUAUCGGAACGUAUCCUGUAAUGGGGGAUAGCCAGUCGAAAGAUUGGGUAAUACCGCAUACGCACGAGAGUGGAAAGUGGAGGAUCGCAAGACUUCACGUUAUAGGAGCGGCCGAUAUCUGAUUAGCUAGUUGGUGGGGUAAAGGCCUACCAAGGCGACGAUCAGUAGCAGGUCUGAGAGGAUGAUCUGCCACACUGGGACUGAGACACGGCCCAGACUCCUACGGGAGGCAGCAGUGGGGAAUUUUGGACAAUGGGCGAAAGCCUGAUCCAGCCAUGCCGCGUGCAGGAAGAAGGCCUUCGGGUUGUAAACUGCUUUAGUUCGGGAAAAAGGGAUGCUUGGUUAAUACCCGAGUGUUUUGAUGGUACCGGAAGAAUAAGCACCGGCUAACUACGUGCCAGCAGCCGCGGUAAUACGUAGGGUGCGAGCGUUAAUCGGAAUUACUGGGCGUAAAGCGUGCGCAGGCGGUCUUGUAAGACAGUCGUGAAAUCCCUGGGCUUAACCUAGGAACUGCGAUUGUGACUGCAAGGCUAGAGUGUGUCAGACGGGGGUGG
RNAcentral lists this ribosomal RNA (618 nucleotides) under uncultured bacterium. Its description in RNAcentral is "bacterial SSU rRNA". It matches the Rfam family "Bacterial small subunit ribosomal RNA", at positions 50 to 664 of the family's 1533-position model. The record is from RNAcentral.